UUAUGGAAACGCUAGAAUGACG
RNAcentral lists this unclassified non-coding RNA (22 nucleotides) under Chlamydomonas reinhardtii. Its description in RNAcentral is "small RNA Cre_3766". Lineage: Eukaryota; Viridiplantae; Chlorophyta; Chlorophyceae; Chlamydomonadales; Chlamydomonadaceae. The record is from RNAcentral.